This 398-nucleotide ribosomal RNA is filed under the name uncultured bacterium. Its description in RNAcentral is "bacterial SSU rRNA". It matches the Rfam family "Bacterial small subunit ribosomal RNA", at positions 28 to 422 of the family's 1533-position model. The record is from RNAcentral.
GACGAACGCUGGCGGCGUGCCUAACACAUGCAAGUCGAACGAGAUCCAUGGGAGCUUGCUCCCGGAAGAUCUAGUGGCGAACGGGUGAGUAACACGUGAGAAACCUGCCCUGGAGUGGGAAUAACUCGGGGAAACUCGAGCUAAUACCGCAUACCCUCGGAUGGUCGCAUGGCCGACCGAGGAAAGAUUUAUCGCUCUAGGAGGGUCUCGCGGCCUAUCAGCUAGUUGUGGGUAACGGCCUACCAAGGCAACGACGGGUAGCUGGUUUGAGAGAACGAUCAGCCACACUGGGACUGAGACACGGCCCAGACUCCUACGGGAGGCAGCAGUGGGGAAUCUUGCGCAAUGGGCGAAAGCCUGACGCAGCAACGCCGCGUGCGGGAUGACGGCCUUCGUGG